Molecule: non-coding RNA, 125 nt
Organism: Mycena maculata
Lineage: Eukaryota; Fungi; Basidiomycota; Agaricomycetes; Agaricales; Mycenaceae
Source: the annotation of a GenBank genome assembly
GGCAGCAUGGCCGAGUGGUCUAAGGCGCUGGAAUUAGGUUUUGGCAUCUUUCUUCGCAAGAAUGAUAUUCCAACUUCAUCUAUAUCCAGUCCGAAAGGGCGUGGGUUCGAACCCCACUGCUGUCA